This 272-nucleotide ribosomal RNA is filed under the name uncultured Alphaproteobacteria bacterium. Its description in RNAcentral is "partial 16S ribosomal RNA". It matches the Rfam family "Bacterial small subunit ribosomal RNA", at positions 9 to 309 of the family's 1533-position model. Lineage: Bacteria; Pseudomonadati; Pseudomonadota; Alphaproteobacteria. The record is from RNAcentral.
GAGUUUGAUCAUGGCUCAGAACGUACGCUGGCGGCACGCCUAACACAUGCAAGUCGAACGCAGUAGCAAUACUGAGUGGCGAACGGGUGAGUAUGAUGUAGGUAUCUGCCCUUUGGUUUGGAAUAACACGAGGAAACUUGUGCUAAUACCGGAUAAGCCUUCACAGGGAAAGCUUUAGCGCCAAAGGAUGAGCCUGCACUUGAUUAGCUAGUUGGUAAGGUAAUGGCUUACCAAGGCUACGAUCAAUAGCUGAUCUGAGAGGAUGAUCAGCC